UACGUAGGGUGCGAGCGUUAAUCGGAAUUACUGGGCGUAAAGCGUGCGCAGGCGGUUUUGUAAGCCAGAUGUGAGAGCCCCGGGCUUAACCUGGGAAUGGCAUUUGGGACUGCAAGGCUUGAGUGCGGCAGAGGAGACUGGAAUUCCUGGUGUAGCAGUGAAAUGCGUAGAUAUCAGGAGGAAUACCGAUGGCGAAGGCAGGUCUCUGGGCUGACACUGACGCUCAUGCACGAAAGCGUGGGGAGCAAACAGG
RNAcentral lists this ribosomal RNA (253 nucleotides) under uncultured bacterium. RNAcentral describes it as "partial 16S ribosomal RNA". It matches the Rfam family "Bacterial small subunit ribosomal RNA", at positions 524 to 776 of the family's 1533-position model. The record is from RNAcentral.